GACGAACGCUGGCGGCGUGCUUAACACAUGCAAGUCGAACGGAAAGGCCCUGCUUUUGUGGGGUGCUCGAGUGGCGAACGGGUGAGUAACACGUGAGUAACCUGCCCUUGACUUUGGGAUAACUUCAGGAAACUGGGGCUAAUACCGGAUAGGAGCUCCUGCUGCAUGGUGGGGGUUGGAAAGUUUCGGCGGUUGGGGAUGGACUCGCGGCUUAUCAGCUUGUUGGUGGGGUAGUGGCUUACCAAGGCUUUGACGGGUAGCCGGCCUGAGAGGGUGACCGGCCACAUUGGGACUGAGAUAGGGCCCAGACUGCUACGGGAGGCAGCAGUGGGGAAUAUUGCACAAUGGGCGGAAGCCUGAUGCAGCAACGCCGGGUGCGGGAUGACGGCCUUCGGGUUGUAAACCGCUUUCGCCUGUGACGAAGCGUGAGUGACGGUAAUGGGUAAAGAAGCACCGGCUAACUACGUG
RNAcentral lists this ribosomal RNA (468 nucleotides) under uncultured bacterium. RNAcentral's name for it is "partial 16S ribosomal RNA". It matches the Rfam family "Bacterial small subunit ribosomal RNA", at positions 28 to 507 of the family's 1533-position model. The record is from RNAcentral.